RNAcentral lists this long non-coding RNA (293 nucleotides) under Sorghum bicolor (sorghum). RNAcentral's name for it is "long non-coding RNA (SBIC_LNC001591)". The record is from RNAcentral. Lineage: Eukaryota; Viridiplantae; Streptophyta; Magnoliopsida; Poales; Poaceae.
AAAAAGAAGACCAAGGCUGAGGCUGAUGGUGAUGCGAUGGAUGUGGACAAGCCCUCCCACGUUGCUGAUGGAGAAGCCGAACCUGGAACUGAGAAGAAGAAGAAGAAAAAGAAGCAUAAGCUAGAGGAGGCACAGGAGGAGAACGGCGCAGCACAUGCUAAUGGUGGCGCUGAAGAGACCGAGACCCCCAAGAAGAAGAAAAAGAAGAGCCGUGAAGUUUCUGAAGAAGCUGAACCUAAGACGGCCACUGAGGGGAAGAAGAAGAAAAAGAAGGCCAAGGCUGAGGAUGACGA